GAGAUAGGGUCCUCCGGGCCCGAACCUCCAACCCUUUGCGUACCUUACCUUUGUUGCUUUGGCGGGCCCGCUGGGGAAACCCACCGCCGGCGUUGAGCCGGUGAGCGCCCGCCGGAGGCCCUCAAAACUCCGUCUGUUAGUGCCGUCUGAGUACCAUACAAUAGUUAAAACUUUCAACAACGGAUCUCUUGGUUCU
Molecule: unclassified non-coding RNA, 196 nt
Filed under: rhizosphere metagenome
Description: partial ribosomal RNA internal transcribed spacer region
Source: RNAcentral